RNAcentral lists this ribosomal RNA (566 nucleotides) under uncultured bacterium. Its description in RNAcentral is "bacterial SSU rRNA". It matches the Rfam family "Bacterial small subunit ribosomal RNA", at positions 35 to 643 of the family's 1533-position model. The record is from RNAcentral.
GCUGGCGGCAGCCUAAUAAUGCAAGUCGAACGCGUGGAGCAAUCCACGAGUGGCGGACGGGUGAGUAACGCGUGGGAACCCGCCCUUGAGUGCGGGAUAACCGAGGGAAACUUCGGCUAAUACCGCAUGCUCCUCAGCAAUGAGGGAAAGGUUUAUCGCUCGAGGAGGGGCCCGCGUCGGAUUAGCUAGUUGGUGGGGUAACGGCCUACCAAGGCGAUGAUCCGUAGCUGGUCUGAGAGGAUGAUCAGCCACACUGGGACUGAGACACGGCCCAGACUCCUACGGGAGGCAGCAGUAGGGAAUAUUGGACAAUGGGGGCAACCCUGAUCCAGCAAUGCCGCGUGAGUGAUGAAGGCCUUAGGGUUGUAAAGCUCUUUCGCGCGCGACGAUGAUGACGGUAGCGCGAGAAGAAGCCCCGGCUAACUUCGUGCCAGCAGCCGCGGUAAUACGAAGGGGGCGAGCGUUGUUCGGAAUUACUGGGCGUAAAGGGCGCGCAGGCGGCUCUUCAAGUCAGGCGUGAAAGCCCCGGGCUUAACCUGGGAAUUGCGCUUGGGACUGGAGGGCUU